GACGAACGCUGGCGGCGUGCUUAACACAUGCAAGUCGAACGGAAAGGCCCUGCUUUUGUGGGGUGCUCGAGUGGCGAACGGGUGAGUAACACGUGAGUAACCUGCCCUUGACUUUGGGAUAACUUCAGGAAACUGGGGCUAAUACCGGAUAGGAGCUCCUGCUGCAUGGUGGGGGUUGGAAAGUUUCGGCGGGUGGGGAUGGACUCGCGGCUUAUCAGCUUGUUGGUGGGGUAGUGGCUUACCAAGGCUUUGACGGGUAGCCGGCCUGAGAGGGUGACCGGCCACAUUGGGACUGAGAUACGGCCCAGACUCCUACGGGAGGCAGCAGUGGGGAUUAUUGCACAAUGGGCGGAAGCCUGAUGCAGCAACGCCGCGUGCGGGAGGACGGCCUUCGGGUUGUAAACCGCUUUCGCCUGUGACGAAGCGUGAGUGACGGUAAUGGGUAAAGAAGCACCGGCUAACUACGUG
This 468-nucleotide ribosomal RNA is filed under the name uncultured bacterium. RNAcentral's name for it is "partial 16S ribosomal RNA". It matches the Rfam family "Bacterial small subunit ribosomal RNA", at positions 28 to 507 of the family's 1533-position model. The record is from RNAcentral.